CCUACGGGAGGCAGCAGUGGGGAAUAUUGGGCAAUGGGCGCAAGCCUGACCCAGCAACGCCGCGUGAAGGAAGAAGGCUUUCGGGUUGUAAACUUCUUUUCUGAGGGAAGAAGAAAGUGACGGUACCUCAGGAAUAAGUCACGGCUAACUACGUGCCAGCAGCCGCGGCAAUCCGGAGGUGGCAAGCGUUAUCAGGAUUUAUUGGGUGUAAAGGGCGUGUAGGCGGGAAAGCAAGUCAGAUGUGAAAACUCCGGGCUCAACCCUGAACCUGCAUUUGAAACUGUUUUUCUUGAGUGCUGGAGAGGCGAUCGGAAUUCCGUGUGUAGCGGUGAAAUGCGUAGAUAUACGGAGGAACACCAGUGGCGAAGGCGGAUUGCUGGACAGUAACUGACGCUGAGGCGCGAAAGCGUGGGGAGCAAACAGGAUUAGAUACCCUAGUAGUC
Molecule: ribosomal RNA, 443 nt
Filed under: uncultured bacterium
Lineage: Bacteria
Description: partial 16S ribosomal RNA
Rfam family: Bacterial small subunit ribosomal RNA
Source: RNAcentral